RNAcentral lists this ribosomal RNA (253 nucleotides) under uncultured bacterium. Its description in RNAcentral is "partial 16S ribosomal RNA". It matches the Rfam family "Bacterial small subunit ribosomal RNA", at positions 524 to 776 of the family's 1533-position model. The record is from RNAcentral.
CACGAACUGCGCGAACGUUAUUCGGAAUCACUGGGCUUAAAGAGUCCGUAGGCGGCUCGGAAGGUGAGGUGUGAAAUCCCACGGCUCAACCGUGGAAUUGCGCUUCAAACCACCGAGCUUGAGGGAGAUAGAGGAGAGCGGAACUGAUGGUGGAGCGGUGAAAUGCGUUGAUAUCAUCAGGAACACCGGUGGCGAAAGCGGCUCUCUGGGUCUCUUCUGACGCUGAGGGACGAAAGCUAGGGGAGCGAACGGG